RNAcentral lists this ribosomal RNA (916 nucleotides) under Clostridium perfringens. RNAcentral describes it as "partial 23S ribosomal RNA". It matches the Rfam family "Bacterial large subunit ribosomal RNA", at positions 581 to 1498 of the family's 2925-position model. Lineage: Bacteria; Bacillati; Bacillota; Clostridia; Eubacteriales; Clostridiaceae. The record is from RNAcentral.
CCUUAUGAGGGUGAUGAGGUGCUUUUUGUAGAACGAGCCAACGAGUUACGGUAUGUAGCAAGGUUAAGUACUUAAGGUACGGAGCCGAAGGGAAACCGAGUCUGAAUAGGGCGACUAGUUGCAUGCCGUAGACCCGAAACCGGGUGACCUAUCCAUGGCCAGGUUGAAGCGAGGGUAAAACCUCGUGGAGGACCGAACCACGUUGCUGUUGAAAAAGCAUGGGAUGAGCUGUGGAUAGCGGAGAAAUUCCAAUCGAACCCGGAGAUAGCUGGUUCUCUCCGAAAUAGCUUUAGGGCUAGCGUCGAGUAUGAGUAGUGGAGGUAGAGCACUGAAUGGGCUAGGGGGCAUAGCGCUUACCGAACCUUAUCAAACUCCGAAUGCCACAUACUUUGAGCUCGGCAGUCAGACUACGAAUGAUAAGAUCCGUGGUCAAAAGGGAAACAGCCCAGAUCGUCAGCUAAGGUCCCAAAGUGUAAGUUAAGUGGGAAAGGAUGUGAGAUUUCUAAGACAACUAGGAUGUUGGCUUAGAAGCAGCCAUUCAUUAAAAGAGUGCGUAAUAGCUCACUAGUCGAGAGAUCUUGCGCCGAAAAUGUAACGGGGCUAAACUUACCACCGAAGCUACGGGCUUGAACUUAGUUCAAGCGGUAGGAGAGCGUCGUAACCGGGCUGAAGUCGUACCGUAAGGAGCGGUGGACUGGUUACGAGUGAGAAUGUUGGCAUCAGUAGCGAGAUGUGGGUGAGAAUCCCACAGGCCGAAAACCUAAGGUUUCCUCAGGAAGGUUCGUCCGCUGAGGGUUAGUCGGGACCUAAGCCGAGGCCGAAAGGCGUAGGUGAUGGACAACUGGUUGAUAUUCCAGUACCACUACCAUCGUUAUUAUCGAUGGCGUGACGCAGGAGGAUAGUGUGUGCUAGCUAU